CGGCGGACGGGUGAGUAACGCGUGGGUAACCUGCCUCAUACAGGGGGAUAACAGUUGGAAACGGCUGCUAAUACCGCAUAAGCGCACAGUACCGCAUGGUACCGUGUGAAAAACUCCAGUGGUAUGAGAUGGACCCGCGUCUGAUUAGCUAGUUGGUGGGGUAACGGCCUACCAAGGCGACGAUCAGUAGCCGACCUGAGAGGGUGACCGGCCACAUUGGGACUGAGACACGGCCCAA
RNAcentral lists this ribosomal RNA (238 nucleotides) under uncultured bacterium. RNAcentral's name for it is "partial 16S ribosomal RNA". It matches the Rfam family "Bacterial small subunit ribosomal RNA", at positions 96 to 334 of the family's 1533-position model. The record is from RNAcentral.